UACAGAGGUUGCAAGCGUUGUUCGGAUUUACUGGGCGUAAAGGGUGCGUAGGCGGUUCUGCAUGUCGGGUGUGAAAUCCCACGGAUCAUCUGUGGAACGGCAUUCGAAACUGCAGGGCUUGAGUGUCGGAGAGGAGGGCGGAAUUCUCGGUGUAGCGGUGAAAUGCGUUGAUAUCGAGAAGAACGCCGGUGGCGAAGGCGGCCCUCUGGACGGCAACUGACGCUGAGGCACGAAAGCUAGGGGAGCAAACAGG
RNAcentral lists this ribosomal RNA (253 nucleotides) under uncultured bacterium. Its description in RNAcentral is "partial 16S ribosomal RNA". It matches the Rfam family "Bacterial small subunit ribosomal RNA", at positions 524 to 776 of the family's 1533-position model. The record is from RNAcentral.